Glycine soja is the source of this 290-nucleotide long non-coding RNA. RefSeq lists it as uncharacterized. The transcript has 3 exons. The record is from RefSeq and is a predicted model, not a curated record. Lineage: Eukaryota; Viridiplantae; Streptophyta; Magnoliopsida; Fabales; Fabaceae.
ACACAUGAAGGGAAUUUCCUGGCUUUGGAAACUUCCAUUAACUGGAAAUCGAAAAUGCAAGAGUAUUUUAAGAUUUACCGCAUCAAACUUUAGGUUCCUAUAUCUAUAAACUAUAGACUGCUUGAUGAUCAAAGAGAGGGAGUGAGGUUUUGACAUGGUUUUCUCAACAACGAUCAUGGAGGCAUACUUGGAGAUGACAUAGAGGGAGCAACCAUACCUCGAGAAGGUUUAGAAGGGUGCAAGCGAAACACAGAGCAAUGAACAAUAUCAAUGAUUAUGAAGAAUCCCUC